UGGAUCCAGACUUUGAUUCUGGCUCAGGAUGAACGCUAGCUACAGGCUUAACACAUGCAAGUCGAGGGGAAACGACAUCGAAAGCUUGCUUUUGAUGGGCGUCGACCGGCGCACGGGUGAGUAACGCGUAUCCAACCUGCCCACCACUUGGGGAUAACCUUGCGAAAGUAAGACUAAUACCCAAUGACGUCUCUAGAAGACAUCUGAAGGAGAUUAAAGAUUUAUCGGUGAUGGAUGGGGAUGCGUCUGAUUAGCUUGUUGGCGGGGUAACGGCCACCAAGGCGACGAUCAGUAGGGGUUCUGAGAGGAAGGUCCCCCACAUUGGAACUGAGACACGGUCCAAACUCCUACGGGAGGCAGCAGUGAGGAAUAUUGGUCAAUGGACGAGAGUCUGAACCAGCCAAGUAGCGUGCAGGAUGACGGCCCUAUGGGUUGUAAACUGCUUUUAUAAGGGAAUA
Molecule: ribosomal RNA, 458 nt
Filed under: uncultured organism
Description: bacterial SSU rRNA
Rfam family: Bacterial small subunit ribosomal RNA
Source: RNAcentral